CGGCCUGCGCGGAAGAUGUAACGGGGCUAAACCAUGCACCGAAGCUGCGGCAGCGAACGUAUCACCCAAGACAACUUUACGGAGUUGACGAUUGACGGAGCGAAGCGACGUCAAAGCGUUCAUUAAAGUCGAGUUGGCUUAGGGAUACGUUCGUUGGGUAGGGGAGCGUUCUGUAAGCCUGUGAAGGUGUGUCGUGAGGCAUGCUGGAGGUAUCAGAAGUGCGAAUGCUGACAUAAGUAACGAUAAAGCGGGUGAAAAGCCCGCUCGCCGGAAGACCAAGGGUUCCUGUCCAACGUUAAUCGGGGCAGGGUGAGUCGACCCCUAAGGCGAGGCCGAAAGGCGUAGUCGAUGGGAAACGGGUUAAUAUUCCCGUACUUGGUGUUACUGCGAAGGGGGGACGGAGAAGGCUAUGUUGGCCGGGCGACGGUUGUCCCGGUUUAAGCGUGUAGGUGUGUGUUCCAGGUAAAUCCGGUUCACUUUAACACUGAGGCGUGACGACGAGGCACUACGGUGCUGAAGCAACAAAUGCCCUGCUUCCAGGAAAAGCCUCUAAGCAUCAGGUAACAUCAAAUCGUACCCCAAACCGACACAGGUGGUCAGGUAGAGAAUACCAAGGCGCUUGAGAGAACUCGGGUGAAGGAACUAGGCAAAAUGGUGCCGUAACUUCGGGAGAAGGCACGCUGACACGUAGGUGAAGUGAUUUACUCA
RNAcentral lists this ribosomal RNA (708 nucleotides) under Salmonella enterica. RNAcentral describes it as "partial 23S ribosomal RNA". It matches the Rfam family "Bacterial large subunit ribosomal RNA", at positions 1155 to 1772 of the family's 2925-position model. Lineage: Bacteria; Pseudomonadati; Pseudomonadota; Gammaproteobacteria; Enterobacterales; Enterobacteriaceae. The record is from RNAcentral.